RNAcentral lists this ribosomal RNA (3053 nucleotides) under Durio zibethinus. RNAcentral's name for it is "eukaryotic LSU rRNA". The stretch from base 3 to 2003 matches the Rfam family "Eukaryotic large subunit ribosomal RNA". The record is from RNAcentral. Lineage: Eukaryota; Viridiplantae; Streptophyta; Magnoliopsida; Malvales; Malvaceae.
ACGACCUCAGGUUAGACGGGAUCACCCAAUGAGUUUAAGCAUAUCAAUAAGCGGAGGAAAAGAAACUUACCAAGAUUUCCCUAGUAACGAUAAGUGAACCGAGAAGAGCCCAGCUUGAGAAUCAGGCACCUUCGGCAUCUGAAUUGUAGUCUGGAGAAGCGUCUUUAACGACGGACUAGGCCCAAGUCCCUUGGAAAGGGGCACCGGAGAGGGUGAGAGCCUCGUUGUGCCUGGACCUUGUCACACCACGAGGCGCUAUCCAUGAGUCGGGUUGUUUGGGAAUGCAGCCCCAAUCGGGUGAACAAUUCCGUCCAAGGUUGAAUACGGGCGAGAGACUGAUAGCGAACAAGUAUCGUGAGGGAAAGAUGAAAAGGACUUUGAAAAGAGAGUCAAAGAGUGCUUGAAAUUGUUAGGAGGGAAGCGGAUGAGGGCCGACGAAGUGCCCCGAUCGGAUGUUGAAUGGUGAGAGCCGGUCCGCCGAUCAACUCGGGGCGUGGACCGACGCGGGUCACGGCGGUGACCCAAGCUCGGGCUUUCGAUGUGCCUAUAGAGACAUCAUCACCGUGAUCAUGGAACGUAACACGCACUGUCUCGAUGUGCCUCGACACCAGUGUGCUCCAGGCAUUAGCCUGUAGGCUCCCCAUCUGACCAUCUUGAAACACGGACCAAGGAGUCUGACAUGCGUACGAGUCAACGGGCCAAAAAACCCGUAAGGCGUAAGGAAGCUGAUUGGCGAGAUCCCUCACGGGUGCACCGUCAACCGACCUUGAUGUUUUGAAAAGGGUUCGAGUGCGAGCAUGCCCGUCGGGACCUGAAAGAUGGUGAACUAUGCCUGAGCAGGGCGAAGCCAAAGGAAACUCUGGUGGAGGCCCGUAGCGAUACUGACGUGCAAAUCAUUCGUCUAACUUAGGUAUAGGGGCGAAAGACUAAUCGAACCGUCUAGUAGCUGGUUCCCUCUGAAGUUUCCCUCAGGAUAGCUGGAGCCCUCGUCGAGUUCUAUCGGGUAAAGCCAAUGAUUAGAGGCAUCGGGGGCGCAACGCCCUCGACCUAUUCUCAAACAUUAAAUAGUUAGGACGACGCGGCUGCUCCGUUAAGCCGUGCCACGAAAUCAAGAGCUCCAAGUGGGCCAUUUUUGGUAAGCAAAACUAGCAAUGCGGGAUGAACCAAAAGUCAGGUUACGGUGCCCAACUGCGUGCUAACCCAGAACCCACAAAGGGUGUUGGUCGAUUAAGACAGCAGGACGGUGGUCAUGAAAGUCGAAAUCCGCUAAAGAGUGUGUAACAACUCACCUGUCGAAUCAACUAGCCCCAAAAAUGGAUGGCGCUUAAGCGCGCGACCUAUACCCGACCGUCGGGGCAAGGGCCAGGCCUCAAUGAGUAAGAAGGCACGACGGUCGCUGUAAAACCCAGGGUGCGAGCCUGGGCGAAGCGACCGUCGAUGCAGAUCUUGGUGGUAGUAGCAAAUAUUCAAAUGAGAACUUUGAAGGCCGAAGAAGGGAAAAGUUCCAUGUCAAUGGCAUUACACAUGGGUUAGUCAAUCUUAAGAGACGGGGGAAGCUCGUCUGACAGCGCGUCCCGUGCGAGCUUCGAAAGGGAAUCGAGUUAAAAUUCUUGAACCAGGAUGCGGUGGCUGACAGCAACAUUAGGAGUUCGGAGACGUCGGUGGGGGCCGCAGGAAGAGUUAUCUUUUUGUGUAACGGCCCGUCCACCCUAGAAACAGCUCAACAGAGGUAGGGUCUAGCAGCCGAAAGAGCACCGCACGUCGUGUGGUGUUCGGUGCAGCUCUGACGGCCCUUGAAAAUUUGGAGGAUCGAGUGCCGUCCUGUGCCCGUUGUACUCAUAACCACAUCAGGUCGUCAAGGUGAACAGCCUUGGUCGAUGGAACAAUGUAGGCAAGGGAAGUCGACAAAAUGGAUCCGUAACCUUAAGAGAAGGAUUGGCUCUGAGGGCUGGGCACGGGUGUCCCAGUCUCGAACCCGUCGACUGGAGGACCCACAGACGUGUUAACGAAACACCGAGGGGGCCAGGGUGCCCCCGUGCCAUGAGCCCCCUUCGGCCUCGGGAGGCACAACGGUAGCUUCGUCCCCCUUACGGGGCGGGACGAUCGGCGUCAUCCCACCCGCCGUCGAACAAUGAACCCCCGAUGCGAAUCAUGCCAAGGAAUCGAAAUGAAAACGGAGCGCGCGUGCCAUCACCAUCCUGUCCGCGGUGCAUGCGCGGAUGGCACUGUGACUCCUUUUGUCCCGAAAAAAUGAAAUGACUCUCGGAUAUCUCGGCUCUCGCAUCGAUGAAGAAUGUAGCGAAAAGCAAUACUUGGUGUGAAUUGCAAAAUCUCGUGAACCAUCGAGUCUUUGAAUGCAAGUUGCGCCCCAAGGCAUUAGGCCGAGGGCACGCCUACCUGGGUGUCAUGCACCGUCGCCCCCCUUCCAACCUCCGGCCUUCUGAGCUCCGGGGGAAGGGGGCGGGCGAAAGAUGGCCUCCCGCGAUCCCGUGGGUUACGGUUGGACAAAAAUGAGUCCCUGGCAAUGCCAGCAUCGUGACCGUCGGUGGUAGAGCUCCCGACGUGCCUCAUCCCUGGUGACGCGCGCUCAUUGUCCACCCAGGCCCCUUCGGACCCUCCGCAUCGCUCGAUCGAUGCUUGCGUCGUGACCUCAGGUCAGGCGGGAUCACCUGUUGAGUUUAAGCAUAUCAAUAAGCAGAGGAAAAGAAACUUACCAGGAUUCCCCUAGUAACGGCGAACGAACCGAGAAGAGGCCAGCUUGAGAAUCGGGCACCCCCGAUGUCCGAAUUAUAGUCUGGAGAAGCGUCCUUAGUGGUGGAUCGGGCCCAAGUCCCCUGGAAAGGGGCAUCGGAGAGGGUGAGAGCCCCGUUGUGCUCGGACCCUGUCACUCCACGAGGCGCUGUUCGUGAGUUAGGUUGUUUGGGAAUACAGCCCAAUCGGGCGGUAAAUUUUGUCCAAGGCUGAAUACGAACGAGAGACCGAUAGCAAACAAGUACCGCGAGGGAAAGAUGAAAAGGACUUUGAAAAAAGAGUCAAAGAGUGCUUGAAAUUGU